GAUGAACGCUGGCGGCGUGCCUAAUACAUGCAAGUCGAGCGAACAGACGAGGAUCUUGCUCCUCUGACGUUAGCGGCGGACGGGUGAGUAACACGUGGAUAACCUACCUAUAAGACUUGGAUAACUUCGGGAAACCGUAGCUAAUACCGGAUAAUAUAUUUAACCGCAUGGUUCAAUAGUGAAAGACGGUUUUGCUGUCACUUAUAGAUGGAUCCGCGCCGCAUUAGCUAGUUGGUAAGGUAACGGCUUACCAAGGCAACGAUGCGUAGCCGACCUGAGAGGGUGAUCGGCCACACUGGAACUGAGACACGGUCCAGAAGCCUACGGGAGGCAGCAGUAGGGAAUCUGCCGCAAUGGGCGAAAGACUGACGGAGCAACGCCGCGUGAGUGAUGAAGGUCUUCGGAUCGUAAAACUCUGUUAUUAGGGAAGAACAAAUGUGUAAGUAACUAUGCACGUCUUGACGGUACCUAAUCAGAAAGCCACGGCUAACUACGUG
This 497-nucleotide ribosomal RNA is filed under the name uncultured bacterium. Its description in RNAcentral is "partial 16S ribosomal RNA". It matches the Rfam family "Bacterial small subunit ribosomal RNA", at positions 28 to 507 of the family's 1533-position model. The record is from RNAcentral.